RNAcentral lists this ribosomal RNA (441 nucleotides) under uncultured bacterium. Its description in RNAcentral is "partial 16S ribosomal RNA". It matches the Rfam family "Bacterial small subunit ribosomal RNA", at positions 338 to 795 of the family's 1533-position model. The record is from RNAcentral.
ACUACGGGCGGCAGCAGUCGGGAAUAUUGCGCAAUGGAGGAAACUCUGACGCAGUGACGCCGCGUAUAGGAAGAAGUUUUUCGGAAUGUAAACUAUUGUCGUUAGGGAAGAGAAAGGACAGUACCUAAGGAGGAAGCUGCGGCUAACUACGGGCCAGCAGCCGCGGUAAUACGUAGGGAGGGAGCGUUAUCCGGAAUUAUUGGGUUUUAAGGGUGCGUAAACGGGAAAACAAGUUAUGUGUGAAAUCCCUCGGCCUAACUGAGGAACUGCAACUAAAACUAUUUUUCUUGAGUGCAGAAGAGGUAAGUGGAAUUCGUAGUGUAGCGGUGAAAUGCGUAGAUAUUAGGAGGAACACCAGUGGCGAAGGCGACUUACUGGACUGUAACUGACGUUGAGGCACGAAAGUGUGGGGAGCAAACAGGAUUAGAUACCCCGGUAGUC